This 810-nucleotide ribosomal RNA is filed under the name uncultured beta proteobacterium. RNAcentral's name for it is "bacterial SSU rRNA". It matches the Rfam family "Bacterial small subunit ribosomal RNA", at positions 670 to 1482 of the family's 1533-position model. The record is from RNAcentral. Lineage: Bacteria; Pseudomonadati; Pseudomonadota; Betaproteobacteria.
CACGUGUAGCAGUGAAAUGCGUAGAGAUGUGGAGGAACACCGAUGGCGAAGGCAGCCCCCUGGGAUAACACUGACGCUCAUGCACGAAAAGCGUGGGGAGCAAACAGGAUUAGAUACCAUGGUAGUCCACGCCCUAAACGAUGUCAACUGGUUGUUGGAAGGGUAACCUUUUAGUAACGAAGCUAACGCGUGAAGUUGACCGCCUGGGGAGUACGGUCGCAAGAUUAAAACUCAAAGGAAUUGACGGGGACCCGCACAAGCGGUGGAUGAUGUGGUUUAAUUCGAUGCAACGCGAAAAACCUUACCUACACUUGACAUGCCAGAAAUCCUGCAGAGAUGUGGGAGUGCCGCAAGGAAUCUGGGCACAGGUGCUGCAUGGCUGUCGUCAGCUCGUGUCGUGAGAUGUUGGGUUAAGUCCCGCAACGAGCGCAACCCUUGUCACUAGUUGCUACAUUUAGUUGGGCACUCUAGUGAGACUGCCGGUGACAAACCGGAGGAAGGUGGGGAUGACGUCAAGUCCUCAUGGCCCUUAUGUGUAGGGCUACACACGUCAUACAAUGGUCGGUACAGAGGGUUGCCAACCCGCGAGGGGGAGCUAAUCUCACAAAGCCGAUCGUAGUCCGGAUCGCAGUCUGCAACUCGACUGCGUGAAGUCGGAAUCGCUAGUAAUCGUGGAUCAGCAUGUCACGGUGAAUACGUUCCCGGGUCUUGUACACACCGCCCAUCACACCAUGGGAGUGGAAUCCGCCAGAAGUAGUUAGCCUAACCGCAAGGAGGGCGAUUACCACGGUAGGUUUCAUGACUGGGGUG